Melospiza melodia melodia is the source of this 1958-nucleotide long non-coding RNA. RefSeq lists it as uncharacterized. The transcript has 7 exons. The record is from RefSeq and is a predicted model, not a curated record. Lineage: Eukaryota; Metazoa; Chordata; Aves; Passeriformes; Passerellidae.
UUCUCCUUGGGAACAGCUGCUGCUCAUGAAGCUUUUGCAGGAUGCAGACCGUGAAAUCUGGGGCCAUUUUGUGCCAGUAUUUCCCUGUUGUUCCAGCUCAGGAGCAAGUUACAAUUGAGUUCCUUGCACUGCUUGGACCAGGUAGUCUGUGAGCAGCCCAGGUGCCAUACAGAUGUCAAGAGAUGCUAAUGAGGCCACUUCACUUUGCACCGUGACCCUGGCACGGCAUGUGCCAGCACCAGUGAGGGGAUGGACUGGAGCAGCUGCCUUCCCCAGUGCCAAGUCAUUAUUGCCAAAACUACAGAAAAACCCAGAUCUUCCUGCUGAAUAAUGGUGAAGAGAGCAAGCACCAUCCCAGCCACGUCACUCCAGGCAUUGUGAAAAGUACUUCUGGUCUUUGGUCCUGUUCUGGCGAGCUCACAUGGGACCCAGGUGUAAUUACAGCUUCUCAGCCAGCACUGGUGUGGGAUCUGUGCUGGGACACCUGCGAGCUGGAAUGUGUCUCACAGGGACUGUGCCUAAGCCUGGAAUUACUGACAUCUGUGUAUCAUUUCAGUGGUAAAUUACAGCUGGGACAUGCUAACCCCAAAGUACAAUAAAGAUCCCAGAUACCAUCAAAGCUGUUACAGGUCUCCAGGAAUAUCUCCAUUUCAGUCUCAGAUGUGAUAUCUAAGCACUAACUGGGAACCUCUGUUCUCAUCAGUAUAUACCAUCAGUUACACAAUGAAAUCUGUAGGCUGCAAAAGAAGAUCAUGCAGUGCCCUCGAUGCAGACAUCUCUCCUGCUGGCUGGCCUUGCUGAAGGAUCUGCAGUUCAGCUGUUGGUGAGAGCAGCUGCCCUCAGUGAAUUGUUCCUCCAUUUCUCCUUCCUCCAAAAGAGUCCUCCAAAGUGGCUCAUCAGCUUCCUCCUCAAGGAGUGAAAGGAUCUGGGUAAAGGCACAAGGACAUCAGCGUGUCAGGCCAUCCACAAAACCUUCCUUCAAAUGUCUGGGAGCAAAGGGAUGCCUGGGCAGGGACGUGGUGCCAUGGAGAGCCCAGACACAGCUGCAGCCCUGGGAAUCCUCCAGUCCAAACUGAAGGGGCUCCCCAGUGGGACAGAAGGGAUGGAUGGUUCCAUGCCACAGGACUUCCACUGCCAUUGCCUGGGGACCAGCAGGGACCAGAAAAUAAAGAGGCCCUCGUUUUCCACAUCGGUGGAAAAGGAGUGAAAAGAAGUGAGCUCUGACAGGGCACAAACCAACCAGGCAGGAACAGUCCCUGUGCCUGUCACUGCUGUGUCAGUCAGGAACUUUGUUUAAUUCUGAGGAUUCAUUAUUUAAAUCUUAAAAUGCCUCCCUGAAACUCAGAAGAAAUAUUCCUGCUUUCAAUAAUACAUUUGCAAUAAUGCUGUCCUCCCUCCUUCAGACCUCUUUGAAAUCAAGCACUGCAGUCAGUGACAUGUUGACAGUUUUGUAUGAAUUAAUGAAAAAGAAGUUGGAAGUGGUUGACCAAGAUUUAUUCAUUAUUAUUCUUAAACUGAUCAUAUAUCCAUGUUGCUCUUCUGAAAAGAAAAUUAAGAGAAGAAGGAACUGAAAAAAUGAUUUAGAAUUUAUUCUGUACCUCAAUCUACAAGAUACAAUUUUAAGUAUGAAGGCUUCUGGUUUGAGGUGGAAAUUCUUGCUCUAAAUAGUAUUUGCUGGUAUUAAUUAUUAAUUUAUUGGUAUAAAUUGCUUUCCAGGUAUUGCUUAACAUGCUGAGAUGAUGUGAAAAUGGAUAUUUCCAAUAUUGGGAAAACCUAAGUCCAAAGAUGGUCACUCAAUAGAUAAAGGCUAACUAUUAUUUAAUCCCUUUUGUUUAAAAAGAAAAUUAUUAAUCAUCUUGGCAACAAAACCCUAAGACACAAAACAUUAACAUUCCUGCUGAAUAUUUUAUUACAUACCCUUUAUGAUAAAAAUCUAAAUGCAAAAUCUUCGUGAUCCA